CCGGGUACCCCUGCCCCGGAGUUCCCCAGAAAAGCGCUCCCUGAAUACAAGCAACAGGAAAGGAAAGGUUUCAUUGCUUUUAGCAUCACUAUUGAUGACGAUUUUUUUGCUGUUAUGCCCCAUUCUAGAAGUGUUCAAGGCCGGGCUGGAUGGGGGCUGGAGCAACCUGGUCUAGUGGAAGGUGCCCCUGUUCAAGGCAGUGGGGCUGGAACGAGAUGACCUUUAAGGUCCCAUCCAGCCCAAACCAUUCUAUGAUUCUAUAAUGCAGCCUUAGCCUGACCCUGGUGGCAUCACAAUUGUAGAGUUGUCCCCAGCUGCAAGGAAAGUCACCUAUUUGAAGACAUAUCACUUCAGUCUGCCUCUGUGGAUUUUUAGUUUUGUUGUCAAUAUUUACAAAGCACUUCAUUUAACUAAUUACCUCUGGACUACAUCAGUCAGUAGUAGAGAUGCACAACUUGGGCUAAGAGGCCAGUUAAACUCAUAAGGGUCUGACAAUGAGACCUCGUAGCAUCUUGUCACUGAGAGAGAGCUUCCUGACUGCCCAGGGAUACAGGACACGGCUAAGGAGAAGGCAUCUGCCCUCUCUUAGUGCCAUGGCUCCCAGCUGCUGCCCAAAAAGCUCACCACAUAGUGUAUGAUGCCUGUGACAUAUUCUGGAGCUGGAUGACAAUAAUAAUUUCCUUAUUUUUCUUAACAGAAAAGCACAAAGCAUUUUCAAAGGAUCUUGGUAUUGUAAAUCAUGUUUCAUUUUGGCUUCUUAUGAAAAAAAAAAAAAAAAGGCAAAAUGAGUCACUGCAGAACAAACACCACCAGGAAGCCUGCAGAAAGCAGCUCCAGCCUUGCUGGGAGUCAGACAGUUGUACUGGUUCCUGCUGUUCUUUCCUGCAAGAGCAGCCUCAGGCUGGUCUCCUCUUACAGGGCACUACAGGUCUGGCCACUGGAAUACAGCAAGACCUACACAAUGGAUCCCAAAACAGGAGAGAAAAUCCCACUGCUACAGCUGAAGAUACAGCCUGUACCCUGAAUGCUGAGAGGAGACUCCUGCACGGUCCAUUUGUGAACAUGUGCAUCACUGCAGGCCCCUUUCUUUUCAUGUGGCCUGACAUGAUCUUAUCCCCCCUUUAGAAAAGAAAGACCCUGGAGAAACCUGUCAGGUCUCUCAAUGUCCAAGCUGCUGCUUUAUUGUCUGACCCAACAGCCCUCCAGUGUGCAGUGUGUCCCCUACGUGGCACACAGUGUGGUGCCAUUGACAGCUCCCUUUCCCUACCUCUAGCCAUCCCUCUAGCAGCAUAUUCAGCUGCCUUUUUGCAAGCCCUGCCCUAAAGGCACCACAGCUGCCAACACACACAAAACACUCUCAGAGUCACCCCUCAAUGAUCCAUACAUUUGUGGUUGCUAGGAUUAAUAUCCCAUGGCAAGACUCUGAUCAGCUGGAACUGGAGCAGAAUCAUACCUCACAGAGAAAGGUCAUGCUGCAAACCACACAGACUCUUCCUGUAAUUGGCUGUAAAUAGUCUACAACUCUUCUCUUUGUGCAGCUUUAUCCAAAAAUAAAAUCCCUUUAGGCUGUGGUA
This is a long non-coding RNA of Vidua chalybeata, 1574 nucleotides long. RefSeq lists it as uncharacterized. The record is from RefSeq and is a predicted model, not a curated record. NCBI's taxonomy places the organism in Eukaryota, Metazoa, Chordata, Aves, Passeriformes, Viduidae. The transcript is spliced from 2 exons.